GAUUUGAUCUUGGCUCAGAACGAACGCUGGCGGCAUGCCUAACACAUGCAAGUCGAACGAGACCUUCGGGUCUAGUGGCGCACGGGUGCGUAACGCGUGGGAAUCUGCCCUCUGGUACGGAAUAACUCAGGGAAACUUGAGCUAAUACCGUAUAAUGACUUCGGUCCAAAGAUUUAUCGCCUGAGGAUGAGCCCGCGUAGGAUUAGCUUGUUGGUGAGGUAAAAGCUCACCAAGGCGACGAUCCUUAGCUGGUCUGAGAGGAUGAUCAGCCACACUGGGACUGAGACACGGCCCAGACUCCUACGGGAGGCAGCAGUGGGGAAUAUUGGACAAUGGGCGAAAGCCUGAUCCAGCAAUGCGCGUGAGUGAUGAAGGCCUUAGGUGUAAAGCUCUUUUACCCGGGAUGAUAAUGACAGUACCGGGAGAAUAAG
This 431-nucleotide ribosomal RNA is filed under the name uncultured Alphaproteobacteria bacterium. RNAcentral describes it as "bacterial SSU rRNA". It matches the Rfam family "Bacterial small subunit ribosomal RNA", at positions 10 to 490 of the family's 1533-position model. The record is from RNAcentral. Lineage: Bacteria; Pseudomonadati; Pseudomonadota; Alphaproteobacteria.